This 433-nucleotide ribosomal RNA is filed under the name uncultured bacterium. RNAcentral describes it as "partial 16S ribosomal RNA". It matches the Rfam family "Bacterial small subunit ribosomal RNA", at positions 29 to 507 of the family's 1533-position model. The record is from RNAcentral.
AACGAACGCUGGCGGCAGGCCUAACACAUGCAAGUCGAGCGAGAUCUUCGGGUCUAGCGGCGGACGGGUGAGUAACGCGUGGGAAUAUGCCUCUUGGUACGGAAUAGCCUCGGGAAACUGGGAGUAAUACCGUAUGUGCCCUUUGGGGGAAAGAUUCAUCGCCAAGAGAUUAGCCCGCGUUGGAUUAGGUAGUUGGUGGGGUAAUGGCCUACCAAGCCGACGAUCCAUAGCUGGUUUGAGAGGAUGAUCAGCCACACUGGGACUGAGACACGGCCCAGACUCCUACGGGAGGCAGCAGUGGGGAAUCUUAGACAAUGGGGGCAACCCUGAUCUAGCCAUGCCGCGUGAGUGAUGAAGGCCUUAGGGUUGUAAAGCUCUUUCAGCUGGGAAGAUAAUGACGGUACCAGCAGAAGAAGCCCCGGCUAACUCCGUG